RNAcentral lists this non-coding RNA (45 nucleotides) under Trichobilharzia regenti. Lineage: Eukaryota; Metazoa; Platyhelminthes; Trematoda; Strigeidida; Schistosomatidae. The record is from RNAcentral.
AUCCAGAUGACGGGUUCUAAACCGGACGAAAUGAGCAUCCUGGAU